This 462-nucleotide ribosomal RNA is filed under the name uncultured bacterium. Its description in RNAcentral is "partial 16S ribosomal RNA". It matches the Rfam family "Bacterial small subunit ribosomal RNA", at positions 29 to 523 of the family's 1533-position model. The record is from RNAcentral.
AGCGAACGCUGGCGGCAGGCCUAAUACAUGCAAGUCGAACGGCUCUUCGGAGCAGUGGCGGACGGGUGAGUAACACGUGGGAACGUGCCCUUUGGUACGGAACAACUGAGGGAAACUUCAGCUAAUACCGUAUGUGCCCCCAUUCUUAGCGGGAUGGGUGGGAAAGAUUUAUCGCCAUUGGAGCGGCCCGCGUUGGAUUAGCUAGUUGGUGGGGUAAAGGCCCACCAAGGCUACGAUCCAUAGCUGGUCUGAGAGGAUGAUCGGCCACACUGGGACUGAGACACGGCCCAGACUACUACGGGAGGCAGCAGUAGGGAAUCUUGCGCAAUGGGCGAAAGCCUGACGCAGCCAUGCCGCGUGAAUGAUGAAGGUCUUAGGAUUGUAAAAUUCUUUCACCGGGGAAGAUAAUGACGGUACCCGGAGAAGAAGCCCCGGCUAACUUCGUGCCAGCCGCCGCGGUAA